RNAcentral lists this ribosomal RNA (376 nucleotides) under uncultured bacterium. RNAcentral's name for it is "bacterial SSU rRNA". It matches the Rfam family "Bacterial small subunit ribosomal RNA", at positions 524 to 898 of the family's 1533-position model. The record is from RNAcentral.
UACGGAGGGUGCUAGCGUUGUUCGGAAUUACUGGGCGUAAAGCGCGCGUAGGCGGAUUCGGAAGUCGGGUGUGAAAGCCCUAGGCUCAACCUAGGAAGUGCGCCCGAAACCACGAGUCUUGAGGUCCGGAUGGGAUCGGGGAAUUCCGAGUGUAGAGGUGAAAUUCGUAGAUAUUCGGAGGAACACCGGUGGCGAAGGCGCCGAUCUGGAAGGAAACUGACGCUGAGGCGCGAAAGCGUGGGUAGCAAACAGGAUUAGAUACCCUGGUAGUCCACGCCGUAAACGAUGUGCACUAGGUGUCGGGGGCAUUGACACUCCCGGUGCCGACGCUAACGCAUUAAGUGCACCGCCUGGGAAGUACGGCCGCAAGGUUGAA